AUACGUAGGGGGCAAGCGUUAUCCGGAUUUACUGGGUGUAAAGGGAGCGUAGACGGCAAAGCAAGUCUGAAGUGAAAGCCCCGGGCUCAACCCGGGAAUUGCUUUGGAAACUGUUUAGCUGGAGUGCAGGAGAGGUAAGCGGAAUUCCUAGUGUAGCGGUGAAAUGCGUAGAUAUUAGGAGGAACACCGGCGGCGAAGGCGGCUUACUGGACUGUAACUGACGUUGAGGCUCGACAGCGUGGGGAGCAAUCGGGUUUGGAUACCCUGGUAGUCCACGCCGUAAACGAUGAUUACUAGGUGUUGGUUGUCAUAGACAAUCGGUGCCGCAGCAAACGCAAUAAGUAAUCCACCUGGGGAGUACGUUCGCAAGAAUGAAACUCAAAGGAAUUGACGGGG
Molecule: ribosomal RNA, 396 nt
Filed under: uncultured bacterium
Lineage: Bacteria
Description: partial 16S ribosomal RNA
Rfam family: Bacterial small subunit ribosomal RNA
Source: RNAcentral